RNAcentral lists this unclassified non-coding RNA (424 nucleotides) under Hevea brasiliensis (rubber tree). The record is from RNAcentral. Lineage: Eukaryota; Viridiplantae; Streptophyta; Magnoliopsida; Malpighiales; Euphorbiaceae.
UUUUUUCCCUUGCCCUCUUCUCUUCUUCUUUCUCUGCCUUUCGCAGGGCCAGUAAACGUUUUCUUUCAUUUUCUUCCUCAAUUCGUUUAGCUUCUAGGAUUUCCUUGCCAAUUCGAAUUCUCUCCUUUUCCCUCUCUCUUUCCAUUCUCUUCUCUUCCUCUUCCUUCUUCUUGCGAGCACGCUCCUUUAGCUCUUGUGCUUUGAGAUUCAUUUCUUCUGGUGUAAGAGUAGGUUUAGGAGCCUCAACUUUGGUGUUAGCAGAUAUCAAGGGCAUUUCAUCUAUGUCUGGGUCAUUCUCAUGCUCAACUACCCAAUUUACAGCAGCUUCAACACUGGCAUUACCAGAAUAAUGAAUUGCUCGGGUUGCCCGUGCCUUAGGGAAACCCAUUCCUUCCAGUUCCUCAAGGAGCUUUUGGUCAACCUC